Molecule: ribosomal RNA, 251 nt
Filed under: uncultured bacterium
Lineage: Bacteria
Description: partial 16S ribosomal RNA
Rfam family: Bacterial small subunit ribosomal RNA
Source: RNAcentral
UAGUGGCAGACGGGUGAGUAACACGUGGGUGACCUACCUUUUCGUUGGGGAUAACAGUUGGAAACGAUUGCUAAUACCGAAUAAAAUAUAAGAGUCAAUUUUAUAUUGAAAGGAGCCUUUAAAGCUUCGCGAUUAGAUGGGCCUGCGGCGUAUUAACUAGUUGGUGGGGUAAUGGCCUACCAAGGUAACGAUGCGUAGCCGAACUGAGAGGUUGAUCGGCCACACUGGGACUGAGACACGGCCCAGACUCC